Asterias rubens (European starfish) is the source of this 760-nucleotide long non-coding RNA. RefSeq lists it as uncharacterized. The transcript is spliced from 3 exons. The record is from RefSeq and is a predicted model, not a curated record. Lineage: Eukaryota; Metazoa; Echinodermata; Asteroidea; Forcipulatida; Asteriidae.
UGACAUGAACUUGGUCAAAUCUUGCGGUGUAUCGUCCGAAUGUCCAGGUAGCAGCCACACAACUUCUUCGUGCCAACCGUAUGAGGCAGGCUGGUCGUGUACUUUAUGCUGCAAGGACAAUUUGUGUAACAGUGGUGCCAACGGUAACGUACCGAGACCCCCUCCAUAUCCACCCAUACCAGACCCCCUAGUAAGGCGACUAACCAGUGGCUGUGGAACAACGAAGGAUAAUUGCCAAACAACCUUAACUUGGUCAGACGAAUCUCGCCGUAUUCAAAUCAACAAACAAUGCGCUUCACAGAACAACAUUCUCGUUGGUAAUAUUUUCCAAUACACUGCUCAGUGUAACAUUCCAGCUGUAGAUCCUGGUUACUGUGUAACUUGCUGUCUGGAUAACAGUUGCAUGUUGGAAACUACAGAUGCAGCUGUAAGGCCUAUUGUGUUUACAUCGCUGCACCAAUCUUUGCUUCUUCUGACAACAGUCCUUACUAGAUUGCUUUGUUGAUGGACGAUAAUUGGUAGUAACUGGAGUGGACUUGGUGUGACAUCGUUCGCAAAGUAGAGAUUAAAAGACACGCUUAUCCGUCCAGCACCCUGUAAAACAAACGUUUACAUGAUUUAGAGUCUCAUAAACUCCUCUACGAGAAGAGAGUCCACAGGAUUUAAGGCAAAUGGUGAGGUCUCAAUCUAUUUGGUUUGCGGUAACACCAUGUGUGAAUCUACUUGCCAGGUAGAGUUUGUUCUUUGAGAACUGUCUUUC